Molecule: ribosomal RNA, 442 nt
Filed under: uncultured Sphingobacteriales bacterium
Lineage: Bacteria; Pseudomonadati; Bacteroidota; Sphingobacteriia; Sphingobacteriales
Description: bacterial SSU rRNA
Rfam family: Bacterial small subunit ribosomal RNA
Source: RNAcentral
AGCAUGUGGUUAAUUCGAUGAUACGCGAGGAACCUUACCUGGGCUCAAAUGUAUGUUGACGUAUUCUGAAAGGGAUACUUCUUCGGACAAUAUACAAGGUGCUGCAUGGUUGUCGUCAGCUCGUGCCGUGAGGUGUCGGGUUAAGUCCCAUAACGAGCGCAACCCUAUCAUUAGUUGCCAUCAGGUCAAGCUGGGGACUCUAAUGAAACUGCCUACGCAAGUAGUGAGGAAGGUGGGGAUGACGUCAAAUCAGCACGGCCCUUACGUCCAGGGCUACACACGUGCUACAAUGGCCGGUACAAAGGGCAGCUACCUGGUGACAGGAUGCUAAUCUCAAAAGUCGGUCUCAGUUCGGAUCGGAGUCUGCAACCCGACUCCGUGAAGUUGGAUUCGCUAGUAAUCGCGCAUCAGCCAUGGCGCGGUGAAUACGUUCCCGGGCCUU